GACGAACGCUGGCGGCGCGCUUAACACAUGCAAGUCGAACGGAAAGGCCUGCUUUCCCUUGUGGAUUGCGGGUACUCGAGUGGCGAACGGGUGAGUAACACGUGAGUGAUCUGCCCCCAACUUGGGUAUAAGCCUGGGAAACUGGGUCUAAUUCCCGAUAGGACUGCAGGGUGGUGCCUGCGGUGGAAAACGAUUUUCUAGUGGUUGGGGAUGAGCUCGCGGCCUAUCAGCUUGUUGGUGGGGUAAUGGCCUACCAAGGCGGCGACGGGUAGCCGGCCUGAGAGGGUGGACGGCCACAUUGGGACUGAGAUACGGCCCAGACUCCUACGGGAGGCAGCAGUGGGGAAGAUUGCACAAUGGGCGGAAGCCUGAUGCAGCGACGCCGCGUGGGGGAUGACGGCCUUCGGGUUGUAAACUCCUUUCGACCGCGAGGAAGCCACCUGGUUGGAAGGGUGGUGACGGUAGUGGUAGAAGAAGCACCGGCUAACUACGUG
RNAcentral lists this ribosomal RNA (494 nucleotides) under uncultured bacterium. RNAcentral's name for it is "partial 16S ribosomal RNA". It matches the Rfam family "Bacterial small subunit ribosomal RNA", at positions 28 to 507 of the family's 1533-position model. The record is from RNAcentral.